CCCUUAGAUGUUCUGGGCCGCACGCGCGCUACACUGAUGCAUUCAACGAGUCUAAAACCUGGUCUGAUAGGGCUGGGUAAUCUUUUGAAAGUGCAUCGUGAUUGGGAUAGAUGAUUGCGAUUCUUCAUCUUCAACGAGGAAUGCCUAGUAAACGCAAGUCAUCAGCUUGCAUUGAUUACGUCCCUGCCCUUUGUACACACCGCCCGUCGCUCCUACCGAUUGAAUGAUCCGAUGAAUACUAUGGAUCGAGAGUACGAACAGUUCGCUGUUUCUGCUUCUCGAGAAGUAGAGUAAAUCUUAUCAUUUAGAGGAAGGAGAAGUCGUAACA
This 328-nucleotide ribosomal RNA is filed under the name uncultured eukaryote. RNAcentral's name for it is "partial 18S ribosomal RNA". It matches the Rfam family "Eukaryotic small subunit ribosomal RNA", at positions 1470 to 1796 of the family's 1831-position model. The record is from RNAcentral.